This 710-nucleotide ribosomal RNA is filed under the name uncultured bacterium. RNAcentral describes it as "bacterial SSU rRNA". It matches the Rfam family "Bacterial small subunit ribosomal RNA", at positions 694 to 1399 of the family's 1533-position model. The record is from RNAcentral.
AUAUUCCACAGAACUUUCCGGUUUGGGAAGGCCGCUUUAUUGGGAUCCAACCGACCCUGAGGCCAGAAAGCGGGGGUAUCAAACAGGAUAGAUAACCCCGGUAGUCCCCCCAGUAAACGAUGAAAUACUAAGCUGUUUUGCGAUAUCCAGUAAGCGGUCCAGCGAAAGCGUUAAGUUUCCCACCUGGGGGGUACGUUCGCAAGAAUGAAACUCAAAGGAAUUGACGGGGGCCCGCCCAAGCGGAGGAACAUGUGGUUUAAUUCGAUGAUACGCGAGGAACCUUACCCGGGCUUGAAAUGCAGAGGAAUAUAGCCGAAAAGUUAUAGCCAGCAAUGGUCUCUGUGUAGGUGCUGCAUGGUUGUCGUCAGCUCGUGCCGUGAGGUGUCGGCUUAAGUGCCAUAACGAGCGCAACCCUUGCGAGUAGUUACUAUCAGGUAAUGCUGAGGACUCUACUCGGACUGCCAUCGUAAGAUGCGAGGAAGGUGGGGAUGACGUCAAAUCAGCACGGCCCUUACGUCCGGGGCGACACACGUGUUACAAUGGGUGGUACAACGGGUUGCUACCGAGUGAUCGGAUGCUAAUCUCUUAAAUCCACUCUCAGUUCGGAUCGAAGUCUGCAACUCGACUUCGUGAAGCUGGAUUCGCUAGUAAUCGCGCAUCAGCCACGGCGCGGUGAAUACGUUCCCGGGCCUUGUACACACCGCCCGUCA